AGUCAAUAGAUACCCGGGUAGUCCCAGCAGUAAACGGUGCGCGUUUGGUGUGAGCAGAUUCGACUCUGUUCGCGCCGGAGCUAACGCGUUAAACGCGCCGCCUGGGAAGUACGAUCGCAAGAUUAAAACUCAAAGAAAUUGACGGGGGCCCGGCACAAGCGGUGGAGUAUGUGGCUUAAUUCGAUGCAACGCGAAGAACCUUACCUGGGUUUGUACAUGCAUCUCUAAGGAGGUGAAAGCUUCCGAGGGUAGCAAUACCCGAUUUGCACAGGUGCUGCAUGGCUGUCGUCAGCUCGUGUCGUGAGAUGUUGGGUUUAAGUCCCGCAACGAGCGCAACCCUUGUAUGCUGUUGCUAUGCUUACGCAUAGCUCUCUGCGUAGACUGCCCCGUGAAACGGGGAGGGAGGUGGGGAUGACGUCAAGUCAGCAUGGCCCGUUUACACCCAGGGGCUGCACACGUACUACAAUGCUCAGUACAAUUAGAACCUG
This 488-nucleotide ribosomal RNA is filed under the name uncultured bacterium. RNAcentral describes it as "bacterial SSU rRNA". It matches the Rfam family "Bacterial small subunit ribosomal RNA", at positions 775 to 1252 of the family's 1533-position model. The record is from RNAcentral.